RNAcentral lists this ribosomal RNA (497 nucleotides) under uncultured bacterium. RNAcentral describes it as "partial 16S ribosomal RNA". It matches the Rfam family "Bacterial small subunit ribosomal RNA", at positions 28 to 507 of the family's 1533-position model. The record is from RNAcentral.
GAUGAACGCUGGCGGCGUGCCUAAUACAUGCAAGUCGAGCGAACGGACGAGAAGCUUGCUUCUCUGAUGUUAGCGGCGGACGGGUGAGUAACACGUGGAUAACCUACCUAUAAGACUGGGAUAACUUCGGGAAACCGGAGCUAAUACCGGAUAAUAUUUUGAACCGCAUGGUUCAAAAGUGAAAGACGGUCUUGCUGUCACUUAUAGAUGGAUCCGCGCUGCAUUAGCUAGUUGGUAAUGUAACGGCUUACCAAGGCAACGAUGCAUAGCCGACCUGAGAGGGUGAUCGGCCACACUGGAACUGAGACACGGCCCAGACUCCUACGGGAGGCAGCAGUAGGGAAUCUUCCGCAAUGGGCGAAAGCCUGACGGAGCAACGCCGCGUGAGUGAUGAAGGUCUUCGGAUCGUAAAACUCUGUUAUUAGGGAAGAACAUAUGUGUAAGUAACUGUGCACAUCUUGACGGUACCUAAUCAGAAAGCCACGGCUAACUACGUG